Long non-coding RNA from Chelonia mydas (Green sea turtle), 714 nucleotides. RefSeq lists it as uncharacterized. The transcript has 4 exons. The record is from RefSeq and is a predicted model, not a curated record. NCBI's taxonomy places the organism in Eukaryota, Metazoa, Chordata, Testudines, Cheloniidae.
CCCCCGCGCUGUGUAGUUUCAUUCUCCUCGCGGCUGGCUUUUUCGGGCGCUUUCCCUUGCCCCAGCGAUGGGGGAAGACAUGAUGUGUGUGAAGGGGGGAGUUGGGGCUCCCCGCUCAGCUAAUGCGCAGAGAGGGGGAGAUGGAGCAGGGACCUGCCUUGCAAAGGAUGCUGCAGCCAUGGAGUCCCUGGAGGAGAGGGAUCCGGGUGCAAACUCUGCCCCAGGGACCGGCUGCUGCAUGGGGACAAGUGCUACUGGCUGUCUAAGGAGCGUAAAGACUGGACUGGGAGCCGUGACGACUGCUCGGGGAAGAGCUCUCGCAUGCUCGUGAUCCAGAACCGGGAGGAGAUGAUGUUGUACAAGAUGCAAACCACAUCUGGAUUGGCCUUAAAGUGACACCCCCAGGGGGGAAAUGGACCUGGGUGGACGGUUCCCCAUUAGAUCCAGUGCGCUUCUCAGGCUCUGCUGAUGGGAACAGCUGCGGGUGGAUAAAAGGCAGCCAGGUUCUGUCUGAGACGUGUGCCGCGGAGCUCAAAUGGAUCUGCCAGAAAGAAGCGGCCGUGAUAUAAACAGUGCAACUGAGGAUCCACAUUUGUGUAUCUGUAAUGUGAAGUACCCCCCUGUUCAGUUUCAUGGGUAGGGCCCUACCAAAUUCACCCAUCCAGUUUGGUAAAUUUCAUGGUCAUGAGAUUUUUAAAAGUCUUUUAAAUUUCA